RNAcentral lists this ribosomal RNA (275 nucleotides) under uncultured bacterium. RNAcentral describes it as "partial 16S ribosomal RNA". It matches the Rfam family "Bacterial small subunit ribosomal RNA", at positions 80 to 354 of the family's 1533-position model. The record is from RNAcentral.
UUUCUCCGCCGGCGACCGGCGCACGGGUGAGUAACACGUAUGCAACCUGCCCCUGUCAGGGGGACAACCCGCCGAAAGGCGGGCUAAACCCGCGUACAUGCCACCGGGGCAUCCCGGAGGCAGGAAAGGCUUCGGCCGGACAGGGAUGGGCAUGCGGCGCAUUAGGCAGUAGGCGGGGUAACGGCCCACCUAACCGACGAUGCGUAGGGGUUCUGAGAGGAAGGUCCCCCACACUGGUACUGAGACGCGGACCAGACUCCUACGGAAGGCAGCAG